AGCUUGAGCUGAAGGUCUGGCUGAUGGUGCGUGAAGGGGUGAGGAGAAACUACGAAACCCACGCCGCUCGA
RNAcentral lists this transfer RNA (71 nucleotides) under Streptomyces mutabilis. The record is from RNAcentral. Lineage: Bacteria; Bacillati; Actinomycetota; Actinomycetes; Kitasatosporales; Streptomycetaceae.